RNAcentral lists this ribosomal RNA (496 nucleotides) under uncultured bacterium. RNAcentral describes it as "partial 16S ribosomal RNA". It matches the Rfam family "Bacterial small subunit ribosomal RNA", at positions 28 to 506 of the family's 1533-position model. The record is from RNAcentral.
GAUGAACGCUGGCGGCGUGCCUAAUACAUGCAAGUCGAGCGAACAGAUGAGGAGCUUGCUCCUCUGACGUUAGCGGCGGACGGGUGAGUAACACGUGGAUAACCUACCUAUAAGACUGGGAUAACUUCGGGAAACCGGAGCUAAUACCGGAUAAUAUAUUGAACCGCAUGGUUCAAUAGUGAAAGACGGUUUUGCUGUCACUUAUAGAUGGAUCCGCGCCGCAUUAGCUAGUUGGUAAGGUAACGGCUUACCAAGGCAACGAUGCGUAGCCGACCUGAGAGGGUGAUCGGCCCCACUGGAACUGAGAAACGGCCCAGACUCCUAGGGAAGGCAGCAGUAGGGAAUCUUCCGAAAUGGGCGAAAGCCUGACGGAGAAACGCCGGGUGAGUAAGGAAGGUCUUCGGAUCGUAAAACUCUGUUAUAAGGGAAGAACAAAUGUGUAAGUAACUAUGCACGUCUUGACGGUACCUAAUCAGAAAGCCACGGCUAACUACGU